AGCAGUCGCCACGGGAAUACGGAGGGUGCGAGCGUUAAUCGGAAUUACUGGGCGUAAAGCGUGCGCAGGCGGUUAUAUAAGACAGAUGUGAAAUCCCCGGGCUCAACCUGGGACCUGCAUUUGUGACUGUAUAGCUAGAGUACGGUAGAGGGGGAUGGAAUUCCGCGUGUAGCAGUGAAAUGCGUAGAUAUGCGGAGGAACACCGAUGGCGAAGGCAAUCCCCUGGACCUGUACUGACGCUCAUGCACGAAAGCGUGGGGAGCAAACAGGAUUAGAUACCCGCGUAGUCCCUGUCUCUUAUAC
RNAcentral lists this ribosomal RNA (303 nucleotides) under uncultured bacterium. Its description in RNAcentral is "partial 16S ribosomal RNA". It matches the Rfam family "Bacterial small subunit ribosomal RNA", at positions 507 to 807 of the family's 1533-position model. The record is from RNAcentral.